This 394-nucleotide ribosomal RNA is filed under the name uncultured bacterium. Its description in RNAcentral is "bacterial SSU rRNA". It matches the Rfam family "Bacterial small subunit ribosomal RNA", at positions 28 to 410 of the family's 1533-position model. The record is from RNAcentral.
AGCGAACGUUAGCGGCGCGCCUAACACAUGCAAGUCGCACGAGAAACGGAGCAAUCCGCGGUACAGUGGCGCACGGGUGAGUAACACGUGGAUGACCUUCCCUGGAGUGGUGGAUAACCUGCCGAAAGGCGGGCUAAUACAGCAUGGGACCACGCUGCUUUGGCGGUGUGGUGAAAGCGGGCUUCUGUUUACAUGCUCGCGCUCCGGGAUGGGUCCGCGUCCCAUCAGCUAGUUGGUGAGGUAACGGCUCACCAAGGCUACGACGGGUAGCUGGUCUGAGAGGAUGGCCAGCCACACUGGAACUGAGACACGGUCCAGACUCCUACGGGAGGCAGCAGUGGGGAAUCUUGCGCAAUGGGCGAAAGCCUGACGCAGCGACGCCGCGUGGGCGAAG